Molecule: ribosomal RNA, 451 nt
Filed under: Streptococcus mutans
Lineage: Bacteria; Bacillati; Bacillota; Bacilli; Lactobacillales; Streptococcaceae
Description: bacterial SSU rRNA
Rfam family: Bacterial small subunit ribosomal RNA
Source: RNAcentral
GCUGGCGGCGUGCCUAAUACAUGCAAGUGGGACGCAAGGAAACACACUGUGCUUGCACACCGUGUUUUCUUGAGUCGCGAACGGGUGAGUAACGCGUAGGUAACCUGCCUAUUAGCGGGGGAUAACUAUUGGAAACGAUAGCUAAUACCGCAUAAUAUUAAUUAUUGCAAGAUAAUUGAUUGAAAGAUGCAAGCGCAUCACUAGUAGAUGGACCUGCGUUGUAUUAGCUAGUUGGUAAGGUAAGAGCUUACCAAGGCGACGAUACAUAGCCGACCUGAGAGGGUGAUCGGCCACACUGGGACUGAGACACGGCCCAGACUUCUACGGGAGGCAGCAGUAGGGAAUCUUCGGCAAUGGUCGAAAGUCUGACCGAGCAACGCCGCGUGAGUGAAGAAGGUUUUCGGAUCGUAAAGCUCUGUUGUAAGUCAAGAACGUGUGUGAGAGUGGAAAG